AAUUAGGAAUAAUGACUGAUAAAGUACCUCAACCUCCACCUAACUUUCCUUAUUAUUACUUCUGGGAAAGAUGUAAUGAUAUGGUGAAAACUUGGAUCACCAAUUCUUUGACUAUGGAGAUAGCUAGCCUCCACCUAAUUUUCCUUAUUAUUACUUCUGGAAAAGAUGUAAUGAUAUGGUGAAAGCUUGGAUCACCAAUUCUUUGACUAUGGAGAUAGCAGUAAGUGUUAUGUGUCCCACACUGCUAGGGAAGUGUGAAGUGACAUAAAUGAGAGGUUUGGACAAUCGAAUGGUUCUAGAUACAUUCAAAUCCAAAGAGAAAUUAGUUCUACCUCCCAAGGAUCUUCUGAUAUUGCUACUUAUUUUACUAGAACGAGAUCCUUGUGGGAUGAAUUGAACUCUUCUUAUGUUGGUCCCACCUGCUCUUGUGGAGCAUUACCCAAAUUUAUUGAAGACCAAAACCUUUUCCAAUUUGUGAGUGGUCUAAAUGAGUCCUAUUCCACAGUUAAGAGUAUCAUUAUGCUUAUGUCUCCACUUCCAUCUAUUAGCAAAGCAUACUUUUUACUUCAACGUGAUGAAAGCCAAAAGGAAAACCAACCUCCAAAUCUGGGGUUUUCUGGUGAUUCAGCUUCCUUCUCUGCUAUUUCUUCCAACUUCAACACUUCUGGAAAAUAUCAACAUAGUGCAAAGCCCUUCAAUCAAAGAAUCAAUUUUAAUCAAGCUAAGAAGUUUUCUUCUAUGUCUUUCAGGUACUGCAAGAAGCAUGAGCACACAGUAGGCAAAUGUUAUAAGCUUCAUUGUUUUUCAACUAAUUUCAAAUUCACCAAGAACAAAAGAUCUGCUUCUGCUUUUUGUUCACAAAUGGAAGAUAAUUCUGCCCAAUGGUUACCUCCAAAUGAAACCACAACUUAUGGCUUCAGCAAAGAGCAGAAUCAACACCUCAUGUCCCUGUUUCAACAGGCUCACAUAUCUACCAGCAAUCAGCAUUCCACUUUUGGUGACAAUAUUGCUUUUGCCAACUUUGCAUGUGUGUAUCACAUGCCUAUAGAACAAUUAACUGUAGUUAAUUCUGAAGUUCAAUGUUUGUCUGCUCAGUUAGGAAAGAUACCUUGGAUUUGGCCAUUUGGGUUUAACAAAUCACAUGACCUCCAAUAAACAAUUUUUACACAAUCUACAACCUUUACCUAAGGCUUAACAUUGGAUUUGGCUGCUAGUGUUUUGAAUCCUGCAGCACCUGGGAAUGGUAAUCCCAUAAGUGUUACUAAUCCUAAAUCGAAAAGGACUGGAGGUGAUGAAUUAAUGCUUGUGAAGGGUCAGGAUAAACCUACACGUGAUGUUCCUGCUUCUAUAGCCUAGAGAGAAUUUACAAUGCUGUAAAUCCAGUUGUACAAGCUAGGCAGAUGUGUGACAGUCAUGACAAAGCUGGACAAACUCCUACAGCAGCGCGAUAUGUUGGUGUUAUUGAAGGGAGUAACGAUGAUCAGAUUGAGAGGAAAGCAGUUGGACAAACUCCUAUGGCUAAAGGUGUUGGGCAUGUACUUGAUACUUCAAAGAAAACAGCUACAAAUGCAAGGACUGGACAUGUUUGUGAUACUUUGGGCAAAUGUGUUACAACUAAAGAUUAUGUGGUUGCUGGUGUUACUACAUGUUCUGUUGCUGGACAAAAAUCUACAAAAGUUGGGACAGUUAUAUCAAUAUUACUAAUUUCAUUAGGAGCAAUAUACAUUCUGAGAGACUUCCUAGGCUUGGCACUUAUAUAAUAGAAAUUUGGUACUACUGCUUGGAAGCAUAUAGUUAUCGCUAAAGAGCUCCAAUUGGCAUGAUUGUUGAAAAGAGCCGUAUAAUAUUAGUGGUUAAACAAUAUAAAAUGCAUCUAAAGCUUCCAAGUUCUCUUUCAGUAGCUUUUCGAGCACCUUCAAUGGGAAUUUUACAAUGAAAGUUUUUUCAAAAGGGAAAUUGAACGUCUGAAAUCCAGCUUGGUGCUUUGACAACUUAGACAUACAAAUUGCACAACUUCUUGUAAUUUUCUACUGAAAGAACGAAAGGUACUUGUGCAUUCCACAAAUUGGAAUUCCCAAACUACUAGUUCCAAGACAUGGGGAUAAGAAGGGUAGAGGAUUGGUGGGAGAAAACAUUUUUUAAGAUGCAAAGUUAUACUACCAAAAUGGAGAGUUUACUGUAUUUUGCUUAUUUAGAUACUUUAUGAUUCUCUUUAUCUAUUUUCUGCGGGAGUCACUAAUGCUUUUUGUUUUUGUUUUGUUUUAUAGCUGUUUUUCCUUUUGUCCUAUGCGCCGAGGGUCGAUUGGAAACAGCCUCCCUGCCCUUUCGGGUAGGGGUAAGGCUUGUCUACAUAUUACCUUAGAUACUUUAUGAUUCUCUUUAUCUAGCUUGUAUCACAUACUUUGGUAUCUUCUUGGGUUUCUAUAUCUCUCCCUCUGGAUAGUUACUGCCUUUUUGCCUUUCAAUUUUGGUUUAAAAUAUCCAUUUGCAUUUGCUUAUAAAGUAAGUAACCUCGGGAAUGUGCAUGGCGGUUCAAGCAUUUUUACCUUCUGAAUCUCAGGGGCUCCUAAGUAUUAUGGCAGGAUUUAUUCUCAUAUCUCCAGUAAUAACCUCGUUUACAUAGUAUUGUCUACUUGUAUCUACAUUCGUACUCAUAUGUUCGUCUUUCCUUGUAUACUUGUAUUUGCUUUUGUCUACCUAUAUGAAGUAGCUUUUCGAACAUCGUCAAAAUUCCCUGAAUGCUUACUUCCAUAUGACUUCAGAAAAGAUUUCUGAAGUAUGGUGGAGAAUUUGAAAUGCUUUUAUAGUAAAAGCUACAAUCAUUCUUUGAUUAUUCAGAUGUGAAGUGAUCUUAAGGCACAAAUGUUGAUUUAACAUGCCCUGCAAUAUGAAGGAUACUCUAUCUACUUUUGUUGAAAACCUAGCAAUUCUAAGAUGGAAUAUUGAAGGAUACUCUAUCUACUUCUAGCCGAUUGAUCACAACUUCGUUAUUUCUAGCUGCUAAGUUAUAAGCACAAAAUAAUGCAGCUGUUACUGCUUAAGUUGGUGCGCAAACUAGUGACAUAUGGACAGUAGUGAUGAGGUCUCCUACUAAGCGAAAUACUGCUCCAGGUGUGAAGAAUCAACAGCAGAAUAUGAGUGUUCCAACUGCUCGACAAAUCACGUCAAAGGCUAUCACAAGUCCAAAUAGUUUUGAAGCACUAGCCGAAGAGGUGAACUUUGGUGUUAACUCUCUAAUAGUCAAGGAUACUGGAUUGAUGCAGCAAAUUGCACCAUGUAUUAGUACUAGCUAACAUGAUCAGUCAAGUGAAAAUCUUUCUAAGAAGUUGGGUGUUCGACAAAUUGCCUCGGAGAAUAAUUUAAUUGAGAAUGUGGGGAUGAUCAAAUAGUGAGAUAUAGCACUCCUGGGUUGCAUUUUUCCAGCCCAGAAGUUGAAAGAAUUAUCAAAGAAACUCAGAUUUCCAUGAUGAUGAAAGCUAACCCUACGAUCAACCAACAUGUUCUGUGUAUACUCGUUUAUCUCGUUCUUCUAUUCUAUCUAUUCUCAGUUAUUCGAUACUACAAUCUUUUUUUCAAAUUUCACUUUGAAUAGAUACUUUUAGUGUUUAAAUAUAAGUAAAAGAUUAUUCUGAUCCUUUCAGACCUUCACAUGGAAAAACUAACCAGUUGAAAAAUAUUUUUCGAACCUUUUAGCCGCUAAAACUCCUCUUUGUAAUAAGGUAAAAAUCAAUAAUGAGCCUAAUAAUGCACUAAAUCACCAACUAACAAUAGAGUAAAAACAGUAUAUAUAUCAUAAUCAGGCAAAAAGUUUGAACAUGGUUGAAUUCAUAGUUCGACUACUGGCAUUCAACUAAAACAUCAAUACGCAUCAACGACACUCAGAAAUUUUUUGAAAAAUCACAAAAAUAACAGUAGCCUUAGAAAACAGAGGAACCAAUUCAAUAACAAUAGAGUAACAGAUGAGGAAUCAAUUCAAUCAAUCGACUACCAAUCUAACAACAACCAGAUAUCACAAACGACUUAGUAAACACAGAAAAAGCUAUAAUUUCACUAAUCCCAAAAGGCCAUAGUUCGAUGACAAAAAUCAAAAUUAAAGAUUGUUACCUGAUAAGCAAAGUUUUUUGCCGAUUAAGACAGGAAAUUGAAGGAAACGAAUGCUUUAUGCAAUAAUUCUUGAAACCUACACGAAAACAAAAGUUGUAGACGAAUGAGAAGGAGAAGAUUGACAACGAAGAUUAAAAAUAAUCGAGCAGCAUCAACCCAAAUUUAUAUGUAAUGGAUUGAGAACGACCUGCGAUGGCCGGAGACGAGGGAGGCUUUUGCAGCGAUAGUGUUAACGCGUACGUUUUCCUAGCGUCGUUCUUCGUUCUAAUUACAGGGUUUUUCCUAGUAUUGUUUUUCUAAUCGUAGGGUUUUCUAAUAGGAGGGAAUGUAAUUUUUUGUCCCAAAAAAUUUGGAGGGAAGAUUUAUU
RNAcentral lists this long non-coding RNA (4471 nucleotides) under Nicotiana benthamiana. Its description in RNAcentral is "long non-coding RNA (NBEN_LNC007769)". Lineage: Eukaryota; Viridiplantae; Streptophyta; Magnoliopsida; Solanales; Solanaceae. The record is from RNAcentral.